GGGGUUGUGGCUCAGUGGUAGAGCACUUGCCUCACAUGUGUGAAGUCCUGAGUUCGAUCCCCAGUACCA
RNAcentral lists this transfer RNA (69 nucleotides) under Ictidomys tridecemlineatus (thirteen-lined ground squirrel). RNAcentral's name for it is "Spermophilus tridecemlineatus (thirteen-lined ground squirrel) tRNA". It matches the Rfam family "tRNA". From Rfam's summary of the family: Transfer RNA (tRNA) molecules are approximately 80 nucleotides in length. Lineage: Eukaryota; Metazoa; Chordata; Mammalia; Rodentia; Sciuridae. The record is from Rfam by way of RNAcentral.